Molecule: ribosomal RNA, 466 nt
Filed under: uncultured bacterium
Lineage: Bacteria
Description: partial 16S ribosomal RNA
Rfam family: Bacterial small subunit ribosomal RNA
Source: RNAcentral
GACGAACGCUGGCGGCGUGCUUAACACAUGCAAGUCGAACGGAAAGGCCCUGCUUGCAGGGUACUCGAGUGGCGAACGGGUGAGUAACACGUGGGUGAUCUGCCCUGCACUUCGGGAUAAGAUUGGGAAACUGGGUCUAAUACCGGAUAGGAACCAUCUUUAGUGUGGUGGUUGGAAAGAUUUUUCGGUGUAGGAUGAGCUCGCGGCCUAUCAGCUUGUUGGUGGGGUAAUGGCCUACCAAGGCGGCGACGGGUAGCCGGCCUGAGAGGGUGUACGGCCACAUAGGGACAGAGAUACGGCCCAGACUCCUACGGGGGGCAGCAGUGGGGAAUAUUGCACAAUGGGCGCAAGCCUGAUGCAGCGACGCCGCGUGGGGGAUGAAGGCCUUCGGGUUGUAAACUCCUUUCGCUAGGGACGAAGCUUUGUUGUGACGGUACCUAGAUAAGAAGCACCGGCUAACUACGUG